UUCGCAAGGAUGGAGGACAUUCAACAGAAUCAGUAUGCAAUCAAGCAUGGAAUGGAUUCCAGAUAGGAAUAUAGGAUUCACCUUACACUCAGAAACUGGGGGAUAGGCCUAGUUGUUCAAAAUACACGGCGUUGCUGCAUGGACUUGAAGAGAUAGUUAUGAAUGUAGAAUAUCAUCAAGUGACUUUUAAUAAGGCACUGUUUUCAGUGGAUGAACCGACAUCAUGCAGUGUGACAGGAAAACGCCCGUGAGACCAAAGAUGGCUUAGAUAAAAGGGAAGACGAUGCAGAAGGUGCAUAUAUACAAGUUCAAGACAUAGAUAUUUUAAAUUUUGCAUGAUGUUCAUUUACAAAACCUGUUAUGCAACCUCUCAAAUAAUUCAUUAUGCUAUCUUUUAAGCCUCUGUACCAGAGAAAAAUCCAGAGAUGGCCCUCAAAGAAGUUAGAAACAAGAUGAGAGACCGUCUCAAGUUGUUUAGGUCUGGAGCCACCUUCCCCCACCCACGAGUCGAAGAAAUAGAUCUUUGAACCAGGUUACCAGUGACAUCAAGAUAAACAAAAUUCAACUUGAGGGACAAUUUGAUAAUACCUGUUUAAAAAAUUUUUUUUAGCUCACCUGGGCCAAAGGUUCAAGUGAGCUUUUCUGAUCAAAAUUUGUUCGUUGUCUGUCGUCGACGAAAACUUUUCACAUUUUCAUCUUCUCCAGAACCACUGGGUCAAUUUCAACCAAACUAAGUGACACAAAGCACCCUUGGGUGAAAGGCUUUCAAGUUUGUUCAAAUGAAGGGCCAUGCCCCUUAAAAGGGGAGAUAAUCGCAAAAAUACGGUGGGGUCAUUCAAAAAUCUUCUCAAGAACCACUGGGACAGAGAAGCUGAAAUUUACAUAAAAGCCUCCUGACAUAGUACAGAUUCAAGUUUGUUAAAACCAAUGACCGGGGGGGAUUGGGUCUCAAUAGGGGAUCAAAGUUUUACUUACAAAUAUACAGGGAAAAUCUUUAUGAAAAUUGUCUUCUCAAGAAACACUUGGCCAGAAAAGCUGAGAUUUACAUGAAAGCUUCCCGACAUAGUGUAGACUCAAGUUUGUAAAAUUCACAGGGUUGUCACUAACGCAAGAAUAGGAUCACAGAAAUUUCAUUGGGGUUUGUCUGAUAUGGCGAGUCCCGCAGACGUGUCUCGGACUCUGAGUAAAAAUCAUAAUUUUACUUAGAAGCCCUGAUUUGUGUAUUAAUUAAAACUCAUAGGAAAAAAUCUAGGUAAAACGUUACGCUCUAAUGUGAACCGAGAUGAUACCACCGAGUUCACAGUGUCCCAAUCCAACUUGUGCGUUUAGUGCAGUCAAUUAGGUGCAAAUUAGAAUAUAAUAUUGAAAUUUAGAUACAAAGUAAAAAAACAUUUUGUCACUCACAGGCAGUUAUUUAUAUAUGUUUCUUUUUCUUUUUUUUUACAAAUCAGGAUCUAUAUUUAAUUAUAAAUGUUUGUCUUCCGGUAGCCAUUUUUAUUGGAAUUGAAAGUAGCGUAGUUUGUAAACUUUGGUAGAUUUUACAUCAUUUUACAAACAAAAUUAGUACGCAUCUAUUUUAUCACAAUAAUUAUUUAAUUAAAAUUUUGUUUAAUACUGAAUAGGGUUGUAACGAUGAUAGAGGAUUCGGGGAAGUAAUUCUGUUUGCAAUGGGCAAUUAGUUGUAUGAGACCGAGUCGUGAAUGAUUACUUUUAAUUUCAUGUGUACAAAGUGAUCACUGCACUGUUAUGCAUGGGCUAGACGAAAAUUAACUGAUUUUUGUCAUUUGUUGAAGAUGAAAGUGAACAGAGGUACGACAUUAGCUUGUGUUCACUCGGUAUAAAUAAAGGUGUAGGAAAAAUCUAAAUGACUCUUUAAUUCAACUUUCAUGGGACUCGUCAAAUUUUCAUGGGACUCAAGCUGCUUACAAACCAUGAUACCGGGACUCGUCUUCAAUAUUUUCUAGUGACAACUCUGAAUCGUGGCCCCCAAGGAUAGGUUUUGGCCACAUUAUAGGGACAAAAGUUUUACAUACAAGUAUAUGGGAAAUCUUUAAAUAUGGACCAAGAUGACUAAGGUGAGCGAUGUGGCCCAUGGACCUCUUGUUUAAUUAUUUGUUUACGUAAGAAAUAGUGCUUUUUAGCUCACCCCAGCCAUAAUUUAAAUGAACUUUUCAAAGUACUUGCUUUGGAAGUUCAUAUAAGUAUUGCUGAAAUUUAUGUAUAUGUAUGUUAAAUAAAUUUUAUUAUCAGAU
Molecule: long non-coding RNA, 2252 nt
Organism: Ostrea edulis (European flat oyster)
Lineage: Eukaryota; Metazoa; Mollusca; Bivalvia; Ostreida; Ostreidae
Exons: 2
Source: RefSeq, a predicted model, not a curated record